AAAUCUCCCGCCGCGCCCCGCGCCCGUCCCGCCGCCCCCCGCCCGCCUACGGGAGGCAGCAGUGGGGAAUAUUGCACAAUGGGCGCAAGCCUGAUGCAGCGACGCCGCGUGGAGGAUGACGGCCUUCGGGUUGUAAACUCCUUUCGACAGGGACGAAGCGUGAGUGACGGUACCUGUAGAAGAAGCACCGGCCAACUACGUGCCAGCAGCCGCGGUAAUACGUAGGGUGCGAGCGUUGUCCGGAAUUACUGGGCGUAAAAAGCUUGUAGGCGGUUUGUCGCGUCGCUCGUGAAAACCGGUAGCUCAACUAUCGGCUUGCGGGCGAUACGGGCAGACUAGAGUACUGCAGGGGAGACUGGAAUUCCUGGUGUAACGGUGAAAUGCGCAGAUAUCAGGAGGAACACCGGUGGCGAAGGCGGGUCUCUGGGCAGUAACUGACGCUUAGAAGCGAAAGCGUGGGUAGCGAACAGGAUUAGAUACCCUGGGAGGCCCCGCCGUUAACGGUGGGCCCUAGGUGUGGGUUUCCUUCCACGGGAUCCGUGCCGUAGCUAACGCAUUAAGCGCCCCGCCGGGAGACGGCGCAAGGAU
Molecule: ribosomal RNA, 588 nt
Filed under: uncultured Nocardia sp.
Lineage: Bacteria; Bacillati; Actinomycetota; Actinomycetes; Mycobacteriales; Nocardiaceae
Description: bacterial SSU rRNA
Rfam family: Bacterial small subunit ribosomal RNA
Source: RNAcentral